Molecule: transfer RNA, 60 nt
Filed under: Tupaia tana (large tree shrew)
Lineage: Eukaryota; Metazoa; Chordata; Mammalia; Scandentia; Tupaiidae
Description: tRNA-Ser
Source: RNAcentral
GAGAAAGAUAAUCGAACUGCUAAUUCGAUACCACCAUGACUGAAACUCAUGGCUUCCUCA